GAUCGGCCCGCGUCUGAUUAGCUAGGUGGUGGGGUAACGGCCUACCAAGGCUAUGAUCCGUAGCUGGUCUGAGAGGAUGAUCAGCCACACUGGGACUGAGACACGGCCCACACUCCUACGGGAGGCAGCAGUAGGGAAUAUUGGACAAUGGGCGAAAGCCUGAUCCAGCAAUGCCGCGUGAGUGAGGAAGGCCUUAGGGUUGUAAAGCUCUUUCGGCGGGGACGAUGAUGACGGUACCCGCAGAAGAAGCCCCGGCUAACUUCGUGCCAGCAGCCGCGGUAAUACGAAGGGGGCAAGCGUUGUUCGGAAUUACUGGGCGUAAAGGGCGCGUAGGCGGCCGUCUUUGUCAGGUGUGAAAGCCCUGGGCUCAACCUGGGGAUUGCACUUGGGACGGGAUGGCUUGAGUUCGGGAGAGGAGAGUGGAAUUCCCAGUGUAGAGGUGAAAUUCGUAGAUAUUGGGAAGAACACCGGUGGCGAAGGCGGCUCUCUGGACCGAUACUGACGCUGAGGCGCGAAAGCGUGGGGAGCAAACAAGAUUAGAUACCCUGGUAGUCCACGCCGUAAACGAUGUGUGCUAGACGUUGGGGAGCCUAACUCUUCGGUGUUCCAGCUAAGGCGGUAACACCCCGCCUGGGGGAGU
RNAcentral lists this ribosomal RNA (640 nucleotides) under uncultured Alphaproteobacteria bacterium. RNAcentral's name for it is "bacterial SSU rRNA". It matches the Rfam family "Bacterial small subunit ribosomal RNA", at positions 224 to 881 of the family's 1533-position model. The record is from RNAcentral. Lineage: Bacteria; Pseudomonadati; Pseudomonadota; Alphaproteobacteria.